RNAcentral lists this ribosomal RNA (219 nucleotides) under uncultured bacterium. RNAcentral's name for it is "partial 16S ribosomal RNA". It matches the Rfam family "Bacterial small subunit ribosomal RNA", at positions 1284 to 1500 of the family's 1533-position model. The record is from RNAcentral.
GUUCUCAGUUCGGACUGUAGGCUGCAACUCGCCUACACGAAGCUGGAAUCGCUAGUAAUCGCGGAUCAGCACGCCGCGGUGAAUACGUUCCCGGGCCUUGCACACACCGCCCGUCACACCAUGAGAGUCUGUAACACCCAAAGCCGGUGGGAUAACCUUUAUAGGAGUCAGCCGUCUAAGGUAGGACAGAUGAUUAGGGUGAAGUCGUAACAAGGUACC